This 879-nucleotide long non-coding RNA is filed under the name Cricetulus griseus (Chinese hamster). RNAcentral describes it as "lncRNA (ENSCGRG00015033094.1)". Lineage: Eukaryota; Metazoa; Chordata; Mammalia; Rodentia; Cricetidae. The record is from RNAcentral.
CAGGAAAUGACAUGGCAGGGAGACUCAUACACAAACAAGGGAAGAAGGAAGUGGGCCCUCUCUUCCUCCAGAUUCGCCAUGUAAUCCACCGGUAAGGGAGGAUGCCAAUGGAAGGUGUCCAGUAAGAUAAGUCUUAUAACACAAAUAGAUUUAUGGUAAUUAAGACUGAGCUAACAGAUGAGAAUCCUAGUCAUUGGCCAAGCAGCAUUUGUACCUAAUAUGACACACUAUUUGGAGUUCAUUCUCUCCUCUGCUACUGGCCUCUUGGGCAAAGAACUGCCCCCACCCCGACUGCUAACCUUGGUCAUGCUGUCCUAACUGUGCUUGCAGGAGAUAAACUUAAAGAAGACUGCUUAACCCUGCCCAGUCAAAAAGAAUACAUCUCUCAACUCUCUUCAUAGAAGUUUCUUUUUGGAGAAGAUGGCAAUUAAUAAAGAAACACACAACCAGUCAAUGUUAACAUGCAAAGAAUAAGAGACUUCGAGAGACUCCCCAUGCUAAAGUAGAUGACCUCAUUCCUAUGAGCAUAAAGACAGCACUGGAUGGAUUCAUUAGAUAUUAAUUUUAAAAAAUGAGAGAAUGAAUCUAGGAUAUACUGAUGUGGAAGCUGUGGAGGUAAAGAGGGGUAGACUUGAUCAAAACAUAUUGUGCAUGUAUGAAUAUGAAACAAAAUAUUACUAUAGCUAAUGGCUGUUUAGAUCAAAGUGCAGUUGGCAAUGGAAAUACGUGGAUAAAUGCUGACGAUAUGUUGUAGAUAGCAUCAACAGGAGUUACUGAGGAAUUAAAUUGUGUAGUGAUUUAAAAAUGAAUAAAGGAUGACUGUUGAUUUAAGAUUUUAGUAACUGAAUAGGGAUUAGAAAUGUAUAGAAUGUAUUAAAG